GAUCCCGACCUUGUCGCGCAGCUCCUGGAACCGGACACGACCAAGUGACUUGGUCAGGAUGUCCGCCUUCUGCUCACCAGUCCUGAUGAACUCCACGAUCACCGUGCCUUUCUCGACGCAGUCACGUAUGAAGUGAUAGCGGAGAUCGAUGUGCUUGCUGCGGUCAUGAAGUACUGGAUUCUUGCAGAGGGAAAUCGCCGACUUGUUGUCGACGAAGAUGAGCGCAGGGGCGGUGUCCUGAUUC
RNAcentral lists this ribosomal RNA (244 nucleotides) under Triticum aestivum (bread wheat). RNAcentral describes it as "partial small subunit ribosomal RNA". Lineage: Eukaryota; Viridiplantae; Streptophyta; Magnoliopsida; Poales; Poaceae. The record is from RNAcentral.